This 867-nucleotide long non-coding RNA is filed under the name Monodelphis domestica (gray short-tailed opossum). Its description in RNAcentral is "lncRNA (ENSMODG00000047402.1)". Lineage: Eukaryota; Metazoa; Chordata; Mammalia; Didelphimorphia; Didelphidae. The record is from RNAcentral.
AUGAGAUAUAUGUUCUCAUUUAUUCCUCUAGAGAGUGAGAUUGCUGUAGGACCUGUCACCCAUAUCCCAGACCAUGGAGCACCAGGAGACAUGACAUCAGUGACUAGCAGCCUCUAUGAAUCCACAGUAGGUGCCAUUGCAGCAGGGAGCUCCUACUCCAAGACAUUCACCCUCAACUUUACCAUCACCAACAUGUUUUAUACACCAGACAUGGGUGAAAGGGGCUCCAACACAUUUAAGGCUGCUGAGAAUGUCCUGCAAGUUCUGCUGAAGUUCUUAUUUGGAAUGAGCAACCUUGGCUCUCACUAUUCUGCAUGCAGUGUGAACUUGCUGAGGUGAGAAUCCUGCAAGAUGUCCACUCAAAUAGCAAAGACCACGCUUUCCCAUUUGACUUAGAUUUUGUCCAGGCUGCUGCUGCUUCUCCUUCCCAAUAGCAAUUCCUUCUUUCCCACGAUGUAAUGGAUAAAAUUCCCCAACCAGCAAGCCAUUAGAAACAUUCUAGACAUCCUCCUAUCCUUUAUGUGGUGAAGAAAAACUUCUUUCCACAUAAGUCUUCCAAAUUUAAAACUCCAUGUGAGAAGGAAUAACAUGGCAGGCACCAAGUGAGUGGGUAGAAAUUGAUUGAUUCAAACACAUAUCAGCAUUGAUUUUCUCUAGAAUCGGAGGAUUAUAUUUUAAAAGUUGGAAGGGGCAGUAGAGGUCAUCUAGACCAUUCCCUUCAUUUACAGAUGAAAAAUGAAGAACCAAGGAUAGUUCAAUAACUUUUAUAAUGUCAAAGAUAAUUGCCCAAUUCCAAAUUUGAACACAGGCCCUUUGACUUUAAGUCCAAGUUCUUUCUACUACUCUAAGGAAACUACUGAAGAUAAU